Molecule: unclassified non-coding RNA, 345 nt
Filed under: soil metagenome
Description: partial contains 5.8S ribosomal RNA, internal transcribed spacer 2, and large subunit ribosomal RNA
Rfam family: 5.8S ribosomal RNA (bases 1-120)
Source: RNAcentral
GAUGAAGAACGUAGCGAAAUGCGAUACGUAAUGUGAAUUGCAGAAUUCAGUGAAUCAUCGAGUCUUUGAACGCACAUUGCGCCCCCUGGUAUUCCGGGGGGCAUGCCUGUCCGAGCGUCAUUGCUGCCCUCAAGCACGGCUUGUGUGUUGGGCCUCCGUCCUCCUCCCGGGGGACGGGCCCGAAAGGCAGCGGCGGCACCGCGUCCGGUCCUCGAGCGUAUGCGGCUUCGUCACCCGCUCUUGUAGGCCCGGCCGGCGCUUGCCGACACAUCAAUCUUUUUUCCAGGUUGACCUCGGAUCAGGUAGGGAUACCCGCUGAACUUAAGCAUAUCAAUAAGCGGAGGA